GAUGAACGCUGGCGGCGUGCCUAAUACAUGCAAGUCGAGCGAACAGACGAGGAGCUUGCUCCUCUGACGUUAGCGGCGGACGGGUGAGUAACACGUGGAUAACCUACCUAUAAGACUGGGAUAACUUCGGGAAACCGGAGCUAAUACCGGAUAAUAUAUUGAACCGCAUGGUUCAAUAGUGAAAGACGGUUUUGCUGUCUCUUAUAGAUGGAUCCGCGCCGCAUUAGCUAGUUGGUAAGGUCACGGCUUACCAAGGCAACGAUGCGUAGCCGACCUGAGAGGGUGAUCGGCCACACUGGAACUGAGACACGGUCCAGACUCCUACGGGAGGCAGCAGUAGGGAAUCUUCCGCAAUGGGCGAAAGCCUGACGGAGCAACGCCGCGUGAGUGAUGAAGGUCUUCGGAUCGUAAAACUCUGUUAUUAGGGAAGAACAAAUGUGUAAGUAACUAUGCACGUCGUGACGGUACCUAAUCAGAAAGCCACGGCUAACUACGUG
RNAcentral lists this ribosomal RNA (497 nucleotides) under uncultured bacterium. RNAcentral describes it as "partial 16S ribosomal RNA". It matches the Rfam family "Bacterial small subunit ribosomal RNA", at positions 28 to 507 of the family's 1533-position model. The record is from RNAcentral.